GAUGAAGAACGUAGCGAAAUGCGAUAAGUAAUGUGAAUUGCAGAAUUCAGUGAAUCAUCGAAUCUUUGAACGCACCUUGCGCUUCUUGGUACUCCGAGGAGCAUGCCUGUUUGAGUGUCAUUAAUAUAUCAACCUCUUCAGCUUAUGCUUGUUGAGUGUUGGAUGGUGGGGGUUUGCUGGUGUCUUAUGAAGUCAGCUCCUCUGAAAUGCAUUAGCGGAACAAUUUGUUGACCGUUCAUUGGUGUGAUAAAAAUAUCUACGCUAUUGACGUCAGUGAGUUCAGCUUCUAACAGUCCAUUGACUUGGACAAAUUUUUCAUUAAUGUGACCUCAAAUCAGGUAGGACUACCCGCUGAACUUAAGCAUAUCAAUAAGCGGAGGA
RNAcentral lists this unclassified non-coding RNA (381 nucleotides) under soil metagenome. RNAcentral describes it as "partial contains 5.8S ribosomal RNA, internal transcribed spacer 2, and large subunit ribosomal RNA". The stretch from base 1 to 120 matches the Rfam family "5.8S ribosomal RNA", at positions 35 to 154 of the family's 154-position model. The record is from RNAcentral.